GCUUAUCCAGAGUGGUGGAGGGACAGGGCCCUGUGAAACCCGGCAACCGGCUUUAUAGCAUCGGUGCCAAUUCCCCCGACAGUAUUGUCGGAAGAUGAGA
Molecule: non-coding RNA, 100 nt
Filed under: human gut metagenome
Description: SAM riboswitch (S box leader)
Rfam family: SAM riboswitch aptamer (S box leader)
About the family: The SAM riboswitch is found upstream of a number of genes which code for proteins involved in methionine or cysteine biosynthesis in Gram-positive bacteria. The SAM riboswitch acts at the level of transcription termination control.
Source: RNAcentral